RNAcentral lists this ribosomal RNA (560 nucleotides) under uncultured bacterium. RNAcentral's name for it is "partial 16S ribosomal RNA". It matches the Rfam family "Bacterial small subunit ribosomal RNA", at positions 355 to 902 of the family's 1533-position model. The record is from RNAcentral.
UGGGGAAUAUUGCACAAUGGGCGCAAGCCUGAUGCAGCCAUGCCGCGUGUGUGAAGAAGGCCUUCGGGUUGUAAAGCACUUUCAGCGAGGAGGAAGGUGGUGAGCUUAAUACGCUCAUCAAUUGACGUUACUCGCAGAAGAAGCACCGGCUAACUCCGUGCCAGCAGCCGCGGUAAUACGGAGGGUGCAAGCGUUAAUCGGAAUUACUGGGCGUAAAGCGCACGCAGGCGGUUUGUUAAGUCAGAUGUGAAAUCCCCGGGCUCAACCUGGGAACUGCAUUUGAAACUGGCAAGCUAGAGUCUCGUAGAGGGGGGUAGAAUUCCAGGUGUAGCGGUGAAAUGCGUAGAGAUCUGGAGGAAUACCGGUGGCGAAGGCGGCCCCCUGGACGAAGACUGACGCUCAGGUGCGAAAAGCGUGGGGAGCAAAACAGGAUUAGAUACCCUGGUAGUCCACGCUGUAAAACGAUGUCGAUUUUGGAGGUUGUGCCCUUGAGGCGUGGCUUCCGGAGCUAACGCGUUAAAUCGACCGCCUGGGGAGUACGGCCGCAAGGUUAAAAACUU